CGAGCGAUAACAUGCCCUUCUUGGUGCUGACGAGCGGCGGACGGAUGAGUGACGCUCACGAAUUUACCCGGUCCUGGGGGAUAACCUGGGGAAACUCAAGCUAGUACCGCAUACCUCCUACGCGGGAACCCGGGGGUUCAGCCUCUCACUAUCUGAUGAUCCUAUGCCGGAUUAGCUGGUUGCUGAGGUAAAGUCUCAUCAAGGCGACGAUCCGUAUCUGGUCUGAGAGGAUGAUCAGCCGCUCCGAGACUGAGACCCGGCCCGAACUCCUACAGAAGGCACCCAUGGGGAAUAUUGAACAAUGGGGGCAACCCUGAUCCAGCCAUGCCCCGUGUGUAAACAAGGCCCUCGGGUUGAAAAACACUUUCCUCGAGGAAGAACGCCCAUUUUCUAAUAGCCGAUAGGAAAGACAUUUCUCGCAGAAAAAGCACCUCCUAACUCCGUGCCAGCUACCUCCGUGAUACCGACGGUGCAAGCGUUAAUCGGAAUUACUGGGCCCAAAACCCGCGUAUGUGGAUUGAGAACCCGGUUGUGAACGCCCCGGACUCAACCUGCCAAGGGUCUCCCGAACUGUCGCGCUAGAGUGCGUGGCACGAGAGUACAAUUCACGGUGUAGCAGUUAAAUGCGUAGAGAUCAAAAGGAAUACCAUUGGCAAAAGCGGCCUUCUGGACUGACACUGACUCUGAGGUGCCUGACCCUGAGUAGCAAACGCGAUUA
RNAcentral lists this ribosomal RNA (718 nucleotides) under uncultured Pseudomonadota bacterium. RNAcentral describes it as "bacterial SSU rRNA". It matches the Rfam family "Bacterial small subunit ribosomal RNA", at positions 63 to 780 of the family's 1533-position model. Lineage: Bacteria; Pseudomonadati; Pseudomonadota. The record is from RNAcentral.